AGUGAACGCUGGCUGUAGGCCUAACACAUGCAAGUCGAACGGCAGCACAGAAAGAGCUUGCUCUUACGGGUGGCGAGUGGCGGACGGGUGAGGAAUACAUCGGAAUCUACUUUUUCGUGGGGGAUAACGUAGGGAAACUUACGCUAAUACCGCAUACGACCUACGGGUGAAAGCAGGGGAUCUUCGGACCUUGCGCGAUUGAAUGAGCCGAUGUCGGAUUAGCUAGUUGGCGGGGUAAAGGCCCACCAAGGCGACGAUCCGUAGCUGGUCUGAGAGGAUGAUCAGCCACACUGGAACUGAGACACGGUCCAGACUCCUACGGGAGGCAGCAGUGGGGAAUAUUGGACAAUGGGCGCAAGCCUGAUCCAGCCAUACCGCGUGGGUGAAGAAGGCCUUCGGGUUGUAAAGCCCUUUUGUUGGGAAAGAAAAGCAGCAGGUUAAUACCCCGCUGUUCUGACGGUACCCAAAGAAUAAGCACCGGCUAACUUCGUG
This 492-nucleotide ribosomal RNA is filed under the name uncultured bacterium. RNAcentral's name for it is "partial 16S ribosomal RNA". It matches the Rfam family "Bacterial small subunit ribosomal RNA", at positions 29 to 507 of the family's 1533-position model. The record is from RNAcentral.